This 460-nucleotide ribosomal RNA is filed under the name uncultured bacterium. RNAcentral describes it as "bacterial SSU rRNA". It matches the Rfam family "Bacterial small subunit ribosomal RNA", at positions 340 to 786 of the family's 1533-position model. The record is from RNAcentral.
UACGGAAGGCAGCAGUGGGGAAUAUUGCACAAUGGGCGAAAGCCUGAUGCAGCUAUGCCGCGUGUAUGAAGAAGGCCUUAGGGUUGUAAAGUACUUUCAUCGGGGAGGAAAAAACAAAACUAAUAAUUUUAUUUCUUGACGUUACCCGAAAAAGAAGCACCGGCUAACUCCGUGCCAGCAGCCGCGGUAAUACGGAGGGUGCUAGCGUUAAUCAGAAUUACUGGGCGUAAAGAGCACGUAGGUGGUUUUUUUAAGUCAGAUGUGAAAUCCCUGGGCUUAACCUAGGAACUGCAUUUUGAAACUGAAAUACUAGAGUAUCGUAGAGGGAGGUAGAAUUCUAGGUGUAGCGGUGAAAUGCGUAGAUAUCUGGAGGAAUACCUGUGGCGAAAGCGGCCUCCUAAACGAAUACUGACACUGAGGUGCGAAAAGCGUUGGGGAGCAAAACAGGGAUUUAGAUACC